Molecule: ribosomal RNA, 439 nt
Filed under: uncultured bacterium
Lineage: Bacteria
Description: partial 16S ribosomal RNA
Rfam family: Bacterial small subunit ribosomal RNA
Source: RNAcentral
CUACGGGUGGCACCAGUGAGGAAUAUUGCACAAUGGGGGGAACCCUGAUGCAGCAACGCCGCGUGGAGGAUGACGCAUUUCGGUGUGUAAACUCCUUUUAUAUGUCAAGAAAAUGACAGUAGCAUAUGAAUAAGCACCGGCUAACUCCGUGCCAGCAGCCGCGGUAAUACGGAGGGUGCAAGCGUUACUCGGAAUCACUGGGCGUAAAGGACGCGUAGGCGGGUUGGAAAGUCAGGUGUGAAAUCCUACAGCUUAACUGUAGAACUGCACUUGAAACUUCUAAGCUAGAGUAUGGGAGGGGGAGAUGGAAUUAGUGGUGUAGGGGUAACAUCCGUAGAUAUCACUAGGAAUACCUAAAGCGAAGGCGAUCUCCUGGAACAUUACUGACGCUAAGGCGUGAAAGCGUGGGGAGCAAACAGGAUUAGAUACCCGGGUAGUC